This 68-nucleotide transfer RNA is filed under the name Otophryne robusta (pancake frog). Its description in RNAcentral is "tRNA-His". It matches the Rfam family "tRNA". From Rfam's summary of the family: Transfer RNA (tRNA) molecules are approximately 80 nucleotides in length. Their secondary structure includes four short double-helical elements and three loops (D, anti-codon, and T loops). The record is from RNAcentral. Lineage: Eukaryota; Metazoa; Chordata; Amphibia; Anura; Microhylidae.
GUGUGUAUAGUUUAAUUAAAAUCUCAGGUUGUGAUCCUGAUAAUGAGGACUAAACCCCUCUACUCACC